AUACGUAGGGGGCUAGCGUUAUCCGGAUUUACUGGGCGUAAAGGGUGCGUAGGUGGUCUCUUAAGUCAGGGGUGAAAGGCUACGGCUUAACCGUAGUAAGCUCUUGAAACUGGGAGGCUUGAGUGCAGGAGAGGAAAGUGGAAUUCCUAGUGUAGCGGUGAAAUGCGUAGAUAUUAGGAGGAACACCAGUAGCGAAGGCGGCUUUCUGGACUGUAACUGACACUGAGGCACGAAAGCGUGGGGAGC
Molecule: ribosomal RNA, 246 nt
Filed under: uncultured bacterium
Lineage: Bacteria
Description: partial 16S ribosomal RNA
Rfam family: Bacterial small subunit ribosomal RNA
Source: RNAcentral